GUGAGUCUAGCUUUAUGGGUCGGUCCAAAGAAUUUGUAAUUAAAACUAGAGUGAGCUCAAUUAAAAAAUGUAGCUCUGAAAAAAUUCAUGCCCAAAUUGAUGGGCUUAUUGAUCCAGUAAAAUUUUGGCCCAAAAACAACUGAGCCUAUUUGGUGCAAAAUGAUGCAGCAUUAAUGGUGACAUUUUAUUUAUUUCAAAAGUUAUUCAUAUAACUAAUAUAUAUACACAAACACACAAAGCUGCAUGCGUAGAUCAGAUCAUGCAGAGAACUAAAGUGGCGCCGCGUCAUUUUUCCACUCCCAGUCUCGAUCGAUCAGCUAUCCUAAGAGUGAAGGCAGGACAAUUAAUUAAUAUCAAACAUUGCCUUAUUUACAAUCUUAACGUAGAAAAUUACAAAAUAUAUAUAUAUGUCCAGAAACUUAAUUAGCACCUUCUCAUCGAUCUUUAAAUUUUCAAAUAGUGAAAAUGAAAGAUGGAAGCACGUAAAUUAAUCAAUAUUAGUCAUGUGAUGAAUAAUAAUAAAAGAAGAAAUUAAUUAAGAAACUGGUGUAGCAUAUGAUCGCCUUCCUCCUCCCAUUCUCAUCAUCAUCUGCAUGCAUGCAUAGGUUAAUUAUCAUGUACGUAAAAAUGGGAAAGGUACCUCUGCCCCUGAA
Molecule: long non-coding RNA, 653 nt
Filed under: Glycine max (soybean)
Lineage: Eukaryota; Viridiplantae; Streptophyta; Magnoliopsida; Fabales; Fabaceae
Description: long non-coding RNA (GMAX_LNC002376)
Source: RNAcentral